ACGUGAGCAAUGUGCCCUUGACUCUGGGAUAAGCGCUGGAAACGGCGUCUAAUACCGGAUACGACGAUCGGAGGCAUCUCCUGGUCGUGGAAAGAACUUCGGUCAAGGAUCAGCUCACGGCCUAUCAGUUAGUUGGUGAGGUAAUGGCUCACCAAGACGACGACGGGUAGCCGGCCUGAGAGGGUGACCGGCCACACUGGGACUGAGACACGGCCCAGACUCCUACGGGAGGCAGCAGUGGGGAAUAUUGCACAAUGGGCGCAAGCCUGAUGCAGCAACGCCGCGUGAGGGACGAAGGCCUUCGGGUUGUAAACCUCUUUUAGCAGGGAAGAAGCGAAAGUGACGGUACCUGCAGAAAAAGCACCGGCUAACUACGUGCCAGCAGCCGCGGUAAUACGUAGGGUGCAAGCGUUGUCCGGAAUUAUUGGGCGUAAAGAGCUCGUAGGCGGUUUGUCACGUCUGCUGUGAAAACCCGAGGCUCAACCUCGGGCUUGCAGUGGGUACGGGCAGACUAGAGUGCGGUAGGGGAGAUUGGAAUUCCUGGUGUAGCGGUGGAAUGCGCAGAUAUCAGGAGGAACACCGAUGGCGAAGGCAGAUCUCUGGGCCGUAACUGACGCUGAGGAGCGAAAGCAUGGGGAGCAAACAGGCUUAGAUACCCUGGUAGUCCAUGCCGUAAACGUUGGGAACUAGAUGUGGGGACCAUUCCACGGUCUCCGUGUCGUAGCUAACGCAUUAAGUUCCCCGCCUGGGGAGUACGGCC
RNAcentral lists this ribosomal RNA (760 nucleotides) under Agrococcus sp. RNAcentral describes it as "bacterial SSU rRNA". It matches the Rfam family "Bacterial small subunit ribosomal RNA", at positions 115 to 887 of the family's 1533-position model. The record is from RNAcentral. Lineage: Bacteria; Bacillati; Actinomycetota; Actinomycetes; Micrococcales; Microbacteriaceae.